GCGGGAGUAGCUCAGAUGGUAGAGCGCUAGCCUUCCAAGCUGGAUGUCGCGGGUUCGAGCCCCGUCUCCCGCUCCA
RNAcentral lists this transfer RNA (76 nucleotides) under Pseudomonadota bacterium. Its description in RNAcentral is "tRNA-Gly". It matches the Rfam family "tRNA". From Rfam's summary of the family: Transfer RNA (tRNA) molecules are approximately 80 nucleotides in length. Their secondary structure includes four short double-helical elements and three loops (D, anti-codon, and T loops). RNAcentral also lists the same sequence under 1 other name. The record is from RNAcentral. Lineage: Bacteria; Pseudomonadati; Pseudomonadota.